ACGAACGCUGGCGGCGUGCCUAAUACAUGCAAGUCGAACGCUUCUUUUUCCACCGGAGCUUGCUCCACCGGAAAAAGAGGAGUGGCGAACGGGUGAGUAACACGUGGGUAACCUGCCCAUCAGAAGGGGAUAACACUUGGAAACAGGUGCUAAUACCGUAUAACAAUCGAAACCGCAUGGUUUUGAUUUGAAAGGCGCUUUCGGGUGUCGCUGAUGGAUGGACCCGCGGUGCAUUAGCUAGUUGGUGAGGUAACGGCUCACCAAGGCCACGAUGCAUAGCCGACCUGAGAGGGUGAUCGGCCACAUUGGGACUGAGACACGGCCCAAACUCCUACGGGAGGCAGCAGUAGGGAAUCUUCGGCAAUGGACGAAAGUCUGACCGAGCAACGCCGCGUGAGUGAAGAAGGUUUUCGGAUCGUAAAACUCUGUUGUUAGAGAAGAACAAGGAUGAGAGUAACUGUUCAUCCCUUGACGGUAUCUAACCAGAAAGCCACGGCUAACUACGUGCCAGCAGCCGCGGUAAUACGUAGGUGGCAAGCGUUGUCCGGAUUUAUUGGGCGUAAAGCGGGCGCAGGCGGUUUCUUAAGUCUGAUGUGAAAGCCCCCGGCUCAACCGGGGAGGGUCAUUGGAAACUGGGAGACUUGAGUGCAGAAGAGGAGAGUGGAAUUCCAUGUGUAGCGGUGAAAUGCGUAGAUAUAUGGAGGAACACCACUGGCGAAGGGCGCUCUCUGGUCUGUAACUGACGCUGAGGGCUGGAAAGCGUGGGGGAGCAAACAGGAUUAGAUACCCUGGUAGUCCACGCCGUAAACGAUGAGUGCUAAAGUGUUGGAGGGUUUCCGCCUUUCAGUGCUGCAGCUAACGCAUUAAGCACUCCGCCUGGGGAGUACGACCGCAAGGUUGAAACUCAAAGGAAUUGACGGGGGCCCGCACAAGCGGUGGAGCAUGUGGUUUAAUUCGAAGCAACGCGAAGAACCUUACCAGGUCUUGACAUCCUUUGACCACUCUAGAGAUAGAGCUUCCCCUUCGGGGGCAAAGUGACAGGUGGUGCAUGGUUGUCGUCAGCUCGUGUCGUGAGAUGUUGGGUUAAGUCCCGCAACGAGCGCAACCCUUAUUGUUAGUUGCCAUCAUUCAGUUGGGCACUCUAGCAAGACUGCCGGUGACAAACCGGAGGAAGGUGGGGAUGACGUCAAAUCAUCAUGCCCCUUAUGACCUGGGCUACACACGUGCUACAAUGGGAAGUACAACGAGUCGCGAAGUCGCGAGGCUAAGCUAAUCUCUUAAAGCUUCUCUCAGUUCGGAUUGCAGGCUGCAACUCGCCUGCAUAAAGCCGGAAUCGCUAGUAAUCGCGGAUCAGCAUGCCGCGGUGAAUACGUUCCCGGGCCUUGUACACACCGCCCGUCACACCACGAGAGUUUGCAACACCCGAAGUCGGUGAGGUAACCCUUACGGGAGCCAGCCGCCGAAGGUG
Molecule: ribosomal RNA, 1468 nt
Filed under: uncultured organism
Description: SSU rRNA
Rfam family: Bacterial small subunit ribosomal RNA
Source: RNAcentral